UCAAAAAACGGGGACGCUUAUUUGUAC
Molecule: small RNA, 27 nt
Filed under: Bombyx mori (domestic silkworm)
Lineage: Eukaryota; Metazoa; Arthropoda; Insecta; Lepidoptera; Bombycidae
Description: ovarian small RNA-24350
Source: RNAcentral